Solanum stenotomum is the source of this 956-nucleotide long non-coding RNA. RefSeq lists it as uncharacterized. The transcript is spliced from 4 exons. The record is from RefSeq and is a predicted model, not a curated record. Lineage: Eukaryota; Viridiplantae; Streptophyta; Magnoliopsida; Solanales; Solanaceae.
CUGGCUCCGCCUAUUGCAAAGAUGGAUAAAAUUGUAUCUCCUUCUUUUUCCAAUUAAGUUGUAUAAGAACAAUUCUUCUCAAUUGUUAAUAUCGAGAAGUUUGGUGCCAAUUGCUAAAAUUUCAAGUCAAUUAGCCAUAAAUAUGAUGGUUUUCUGAGAAUCCGACAACUGCUAAUAACAAAGAUGGAAUAUUCGGUUUACUUUCCCUCUAAUUUUGAAGAUUUUGGAAAAUUGGUGCUAAUGCAGUGAGCUAUUUCUCAACUUAAUCCUUUCUUGUAUCAUAUGCUUGCCUUCUUUGUGCAGAGAAGAAAAGUGCAAUUAACAUCAUUCUUCUUCUCUUCCCCUCUUUUUUUUUGGGUGAGGGUUUGUCCCUAUUUCCCUGUAAUGGAAUCAAUUGGAAUAACUUUCCUACUAUGCCAGUAUUCAUGAUGCAUGAUUUCCUUUGGAUCUGUUGAACUUAUAUUGAUCAAGAAUUCAGCAUAUCCUCCUUUUGGAGGAUGGAAGGCCAAGUCAAAUCUUAGAAGGGAGUUUGGAUCACGAUGGGGAUCAUCUUGCCAUAACAGCAACUGAUGCAGAAUCUGUAAAUGAGGUUUCACCACGGGGUUGGAGAGAAGUGCCUGGGAAUGGUUGGUCGUUGCAUUUCAAUUCAGCUGAGCAGAGUGACUCAUUCGAGGGUAGGGUUAUCUCAGUCAAGUGGGGAAAUAAAACCAAAAAAAUCGGUAUUGAUGGCACAGCGGAAGCCAUGAAGGAAGCUAUUAAAUCUUCUUUCAUGUUAAGGACAAAACGCCCAUUUUGGUUGGAAGAUGAAAAUAUGAUUGUUCGAGCAGUGGAUAGAGAUAUGCCAUUGAGGAACUACACUUUACAUGUUGACGAAGGCUUGACGAUAAAAGUUUGCAUGUCUGAGGAUGCCGAUGUCUUGCCAGUUCAAACACAGGAUAAAACCUUUUAUUCUGAUG